GGACUACGCGGGUAUCUAAUCCGGUUCGCUACCCCAGCUUUCGUCCCUGACCGUCAGACGUGUUCUAGUAAGCAGCCUUCGCCACUGGUGGUCCUCCGGGGAUCAAAGGAUUUCGCCCCUACCCCCAGAAUACCGCUUACCUCUCCCACUCUCUAGCCGGGCAGUAUUUCCCGCAGUCCAACGCUUGAGACGCUGGAUUUAACGGGAAACUUACCCGGCCGGCUACGGACGCUUUAGGCCAAAUAAUCAUCCCCACCACUCGAGGGGCUGGUGUUACCGCGGCGGCUGACACCAGUCUUGCCCCCCUCUUAUUCCCUAGGCUAUUUAGACCAAGGAAAAGCCACCUUCUUCAGAUGGCACUCGAGGUAACCCCUUCGCACGUGAGUGCAUUGAGGAGGUUUCGCGCCUGCUGCACCCCAUAGG
Molecule: ribosomal RNA, 423 nt
Filed under: uncultured archaeon
Lineage: Archaea
Description: partial 16S ribosomal RNA
Source: RNAcentral